Molecule: ribosomal RNA, 500 nt
Filed under: uncultured bacterium
Lineage: Bacteria
Description: partial 16S ribosomal RNA
Rfam family: Bacterial small subunit ribosomal RNA
Source: RNAcentral
AUUGAACGCUGGCGGCAUGCCUUACACAUGCAAGUCGAACGGCAGCACGGGAGCAAUCCUGGUGGCGAGUGGCGAACGGGUGAGUAAAGUAUCGGAACGUGCCCAGUCGUGGGGGAUAACGUAGCGAAAGUUACGCUAAUACCGCAUACGAUCUAUGGAUGAAAGCGGGGGAUCGCAAGACCUCGCGCGAUUGGAGCGGCCGAUAUCAGAUUAGGUAGUUGGUGGGGUAAAGGCUCACCAAGCCGACGAUCUGUAGCUGGUCUGAGAGGACGACCAGCCACACUGGGACUGGGACACGGCCCAGACUCCUACGGGAGGCAGCAGUGGGGAAUUUUGGACAAUGGGCGAAAGCCUGAUCCAGCUAUGCCGCGUGCAGGAUGAAGGUCUUCGGGUUGUAAACUGCUUUUGUACGGAACGAAAAGGUUUGGCCUAAUAAGCUGAGCUCAUGACGGUACCGUAAGAAUAAGCACCGGCUAACUACGUGCCAGCAGCCGCCGUAA